GAAGAAGGUUUUCGGAUCAUAAAACUCUGUGUGUAGAGAAGAACAAGGACGUUAGUAACUGAACGUCCCCUGACGGUAUCUAACCAGAAAGCCACGGCUAACUACGUGCCAGCAGCCGCGGUAAUACGUAGGUGGCAAGCGUUGUCCGGAUUUAUUGGGCGUAAAGCGAGCGCAGGCGGUUUCUUAAGUCUGAUGUGAAAGCCCCCGGCUCAACCGGGGAGGGUCAUUGGAAACUGGGAGACUUGAGUGCAGAAGAGGAGAGUGGAAUUCCAUGUGUAGCGGUGAAAUGCGUAGAUAUAUGGAGGAACACCAGUGGCGAAGGCGGCUCUCUGGUCUGUAACUGACGCUGAGGCUCGAAAGCGUGGGGAGCAAACAGGAUUAGAUACCCUGGUAGUCCACGCCGUAAACGAUGAGUGCUAAGUG
Molecule: ribosomal RNA, 423 nt
Filed under: uncultured bacterium
Lineage: Bacteria
Description: bacterial SSU rRNA
Rfam family: Bacterial small subunit ribosomal RNA
Source: RNAcentral